AUUGAACGCUGGCGGCAGGCCUAACACAUGCAUGUCGAACGGUAACAGGAAACAGCUUGCUGUUUCGCUGACGAGUGGCGGACGGGUGAGUAAUGUCUGGGAAACUGCCUGAUGGAGGGGGAUAACUACUGGAAACGGUAGCUAAUACCGCAUAACGUCGCAAGACCAAAGAGGGGGACCUUCGGGCCUCUUGCCAUCGGAUGUGCCCAGAUGGGAUUAGCUAGUAGGUGGGGUAACGGCUCACCUAGGCGACGAUCCCUAGCUGGUCUGAGAGGAUGACCAGCCACACUGGAACUGAGACACGGUCCAGGCUCCUACGGGAGGCAGCAGUGGGGAAUAUUGCACAAUGGGCGCAAGCCUGAUGCAGCCAUGCCGCGUGUAUGAAGAAGGCCUUCGGGUUGUAAAGUACUUUCAGCGGGGAGGAAGGGAGUAAGGUUAAUACCUUUGCUCAUUGACGUUACCCGCAGAAGAAGCACCGGCUAACUCCGUGCCAGCCGCCGCCGUAA
Molecule: ribosomal RNA, 506 nt
Filed under: uncultured bacterium
Lineage: Bacteria
Description: partial 16S ribosomal RNA
Rfam family: Bacterial small subunit ribosomal RNA
Source: RNAcentral